AACGAACGCUGGCGGCAGGCCUAACACAUGCAAGUCGAACGCCGUAGCAAUACGGAGUGGCAGACGGGUGAGUAACACGUGGGAACGUACCCUUCGGUUCGGAAUAACUCAGGGAAACUUGAGCUAAAACCGGAUACGUCCGAGAGGAGAAAGAUUCAUCGCCGAGGGAUCGGCCCGCGUCUGAUUAGCUUGUUGGUGAGGUAACGGCUCACCAAGGCGACGAUCAGUAGCUGGCUGAGAGGAUGAUCAGCCACAUUGGGACUGAGACACGGCCCAAACUCCUACGGGAGGCAGCAGUGGGGAAUAUUGGACAAUGGGCGCAAGCCUGAUCCAGCCAUGCCGCGUGAGUGAUGAAGGCCCUAGGGUUGUAAAGCUCUUUUACCCGGGAAGAUAAUGACUGUACCGGGAGAAUAAGCCCCGGCUAACUUCGUGCCAGCCGCCGCGGUAAU
This 449-nucleotide ribosomal RNA is filed under the name uncultured bacterium. Its description in RNAcentral is "bacterial SSU rRNA". It matches the Rfam family "Bacterial small subunit ribosomal RNA", at positions 29 to 524 of the family's 1533-position model. The record is from RNAcentral.